RNAcentral lists this transfer RNA (80 nucleotides) under Roseisolibacter agri. RNAcentral describes it as "tRNA-Pro". Lineage: Bacteria; Pseudomonadati; Gemmatimonadota; Gemmatimonadia; Gemmatimonadales; Gemmatimonadaceae. The record is from RNAcentral.
UGCUGAUGGAGAAGGAGCUCGCGUACCUCGGGCGCGCGCUGGCCGAGCCGAAGCGGCCGUUCGUCGCGAUCCUCGGCGGC